AGCUCCAAUAGCGUAUACUAAAGUUGUUGCAGUUAAAAAGCUCGUAGUUGAAUUUCUGGUUGUGAAAGUUGGUCCGUUCCUCACGGAAUGUGUACCAAACAUUCAUGGCCAUCCUCGGGGAGAAUGUAUAUGAACUUAAGUGAUCGUGUACAGGAACCUCGUCAUUUACUGUGAGCAAAAUAGAGUGUUCAAAGCAGGCUUAUGCCUUGAAUAUAUUAGCAUGGAAUAAUAAGAUAUGACUUUGGUCUAUUUUGUUGGUUUGCUUUCCAAAGUAAUGAUUAAUAGGGAUAGUUGGGGGUAUUCGUAUUCAAUUGUCAGAGGUGAAAUUCUUGGAUUUAUGGAAGACGAACUACUGCGAAAGCAUUUACCAAGGAUGUUUUCA
RNAcentral lists this ribosomal RNA (382 nucleotides) under uncultured eukaryote. Its description in RNAcentral is "SSU rRNA". It matches the Rfam family "Eukaryotic small subunit ribosomal RNA", at positions 587 to 972 of the family's 1831-position model. The record is from RNAcentral.